RNAcentral lists this long non-coding RNA (1946 nucleotides) under Sus scrofa (pig). RNAcentral describes it as "lncRNA (ENSSSCG00045016284.1)". The record is from RNAcentral. Lineage: Eukaryota; Metazoa; Chordata; Mammalia; Artiodactyla; Suidae.
CUUUUUUUUCUUUCUUUUUUUUUUUUUUUUGGUCUUUUUGCCAUUUCUUGGGCCUCUCCCACGGCAUAUGGAGGUUUCCAGGCUGGGGGCGAAUCAGAGCUGCAGCUGCUGGCCUGUGCCGCAGCCACAGCCACGCCGGAUCCAAGCUGAGUCUUUGACCUGCACCACAGCUCAUGGCAAUGCACAUCCUCGUGGAUACCAGUCGGGUUCCUUACCGCUGAGCCAUGAAGGGAACUCCUGCUUCAGCUUGUGAAAAACGUUCUUUCGUAUCUUUUUUUUAUUGGAUUCUACAUAAAAGUGAUGCCACAGGGCCUUAGUCUUUCUCUGUCUGACUUUACUCAGUGUGGUCAUUUCUAGGUCCAUCCAUGUUGCUACACAUAUGCCCUGGCUUCUCAUCUUGGCUUCUCCCUCUGACUCUGCUCCCAACCCUGUCUUUUGCGCCUCAGCACGUUUAAGACAGGAGUGGCCACCCCGGUCCCUGCUCUCUGGGGCCCCAGGUGCCUUGUUGCUACUUCUUGGCAUAGGUACCCUGUUUCUCUUCUUCCCCUGUUGGGGGACUCCUUGGGGGUGUCCUCGAGGCAGGAGUGGCCGCUCGAGUCCCUAGUUCCCUGAGCCUCUCCCCCAGGGCCCCGCACAGACUGGCCUCCGUGUGAGGUUAUUUCACCUUCCAGAGGGGGAGCUGACUGGAGGAGACCCGCUGGCUCCGGGGUCCUGCCCGACCCAGCCAGCAGGGCUGUGAGUGCCGGGGUGUCCUCCGGGACGAGGGCGAGGCAGGCGGGCUCCCAGGAGGCCUUUGCCUUCAGGGCCAACGGGUGUCGUUCUCCACGCCGGGCUCUCGGCUCUGGGGCUUCUCUGUUCUCGUGCGCCUCCAUGCUUGUCUCUUGUGCCCUGAGUCCCGGCCGAGAUCCUCUGCUGCCGCAGGAGAGAGUAGUGCCGCGCAGCCUCUGGUGGUGGGUUUGUCCCCCAGGGGACGUCGGGCCGUGGCUGCAGCCUCGUCUGAGUGUCAGGCCUGGGGUGUGGGUGGGGCCGGCUUCUAGGGCUGGAGUCCCGGGGUGCCACUCCGCACCCCAGGAUGGCCGGGAUGGUCCCGCUCAGCAGAGGGCUCCCCAGCCCCCAGUGGCAGGGGUGCCAGGCCUGCGAAACAGCAGCUUGAGGAGGGCUGUCCGUCCAGGGCUCAGGGGAAGCCAUGCCCGCGCUCAGAGAACUGGGGUUAUGGUCUGUGUCAAGGAGUGGAGGUGGCACAAAAGUAGGAAACGUUUGGCAUUGCUAGGUAGUUUACAACCAACUUUUGAAAGUACAACAGUCAACUCUCUGGCGCUGCCGACCUCUUCACUCCUGUUCCCGUGCUCGCCUGGAGCCCCCUGUGCUCCAGACUCUUGCUGUUUCCUUGCGCAGCCCUGACACACUUGCCUCAGGCCUCUGCGGGGGCUGUUCUCUGCCUGGCGGGUGUUCUUGGGCAUUUUGUCUUUUCCCGGGGCCCCCCUGGCCCAGCACUGUCACCCCCAGGCCUCAUGGAACCGCCCCAUCCCUCUCACUUGAUCUCAUAAACCUAUUCAUAACCUUAGCCAGUUGUUCUCAAGCAGAGAUGCUGCUGCUCCCAGAGGAAGCUCAGCAACAUCUGGGGCUGGUUUUGGUUGUGACAGCCACUUGGGUGUGGCUGCUGUUAACCACCUGGAGUGGGUGGAGGGCCUGGAAUGCACUAAACACCCUUAGGAUUCACAGGCCAGCUUCCUCCCCAUCCUCCCAACGAGAUUAUCUUGACUGAACAGUCCUGCUCCGUGAAGAAACCGUGUUUCAGAGGGUGCAGGGACACGUCUUCAGCUGGCAUUGCCAGGCACCCUCAUGUAUCCAGUCCAUCACUUUGCUGCCUCCUGAAUGUGUUUGAUGGAAAUUCAGGGUUUACUGCUCAUUCUUUUUUCUUGUUUUAAGGGCUCAUUCUUAAGAUA